This 325-nucleotide unclassified non-coding RNA is filed under the name uncultured fungus. RNAcentral describes it as "partial contains small subunit ribosomal RNA, internal transcribed spacer 1, and 5.8S ribosomal RNA". The stretch from base 1 to 73 matches the Rfam family "Eukaryotic small subunit ribosomal RNA", at positions 1759 to 1831 of the family's 1831-position model. Lineage: Eukaryota; Fungi. The record is from RNAcentral.
GCAAACUUGGUCAUUUAGAGGAAGUAAAAGUCGUAACAAGGUAACCGUAGGUGAACCUGCGGUUGGAUCAUUAAAAAUUGAUUUAGUCUCUGAGUUUUUUCAUAAACUCAUGAUGGCUAUUAACACCUGUGCACAUUAAUGUAUCUUGGGUUGUGGUUUUAUAUAGUCUAGUCUACUCUAGUCGUAUAGAGUCUAUUCUAGUCGUGUAAGAGCCAAUCCAAAACUUUUUUAAAACCCCUAUUGAUUAUGUCUGAAAAUUUUAUAUUAAAUAUAAACAACUUUUGACAACGGAUCUCUAGGCUCUCGCAUCGAUGAAGAACGCAGC